RNAcentral lists this non-coding RNA (29 nucleotides) under Homo sapiens (human). The record is from RNAcentral. Lineage: Eukaryota; Metazoa; Chordata; Mammalia; Primates; Hominidae.
UUCUCACUGGGUCUUCUGUUUGAAAGGAG